AUGGAAAAAUCUGGAGUGAAAACAUGGUCUUUAGAGCAGGCAAUGGUACCUGUUGAAGCAUAUAUCUCGAUGGUUACAGGGAGCUCUUCAGAGGAGGAUUCAGAGACAGAUGACCACUCCUAUAUCCCACCUGAGCCAUUUGAAUUGGAGGGGGUGAUGGCAGUAUCUAAGGGAGCAAAAACCUGUUCUUCACAAAAGACAACGCUAUCCGUCGAUGCAGAUAGAACCAUGGUUGUACUGGCCCACAAACUAGCCCCACCACACAUAAUCAAGACUCUUCCAGAUUGCACACUUACACCGUUGGGCAGAGAACCAGCUACAACCCAUCUAACCGCAACCCCAGCGGAUAGUAACCCACUUCUAGUUGACAAAGCACCAUGUCCAUGA
Molecule: ribosomal RNA, 387 nt
Filed under: Triticum aestivum (bread wheat)
Lineage: Eukaryota; Viridiplantae; Streptophyta; Magnoliopsida; Poales; Poaceae
Description: partial small subunit ribosomal RNA
Source: RNAcentral